RNAcentral lists this ribosomal RNA (301 nucleotides) under uncultured bacterium. RNAcentral's name for it is "partial 16S ribosomal RNA". It matches the Rfam family "Bacterial small subunit ribosomal RNA", at positions 509 to 809 of the family's 1533-position model. The record is from RNAcentral.
CAGUCGCCACGGUAAUACGGAGGAUCCAAGCGUUAUCCGGAAUCAUUGGGUUUAAAGGGUCCGUAGGCGGUCUUGUAAGUCAGUGGUGAAAGCCCAUCGCUCAACGGUGGAACGGCCAUUGAUACUGCAGGACUUGAAUUAUUGGGAAGUAACUAGAAUAUGUAGUGUAGCGGUGAAAUGCUUAGAGAUUACAUGGAAUACCAAUUGCGAAGGCAGGUUACUACCAAUUGAUUGACGCUGAUGGACGAAAGCGUGGGUAGCGAACAGGAUUAGAUACCCGUGUAGUCCCUGUCUCUUAUAA